UACGUAGGGUGCGAGCGUUAAUCGGAAUUACUGGGCGUAAAGCGUGCGCAGGCGGUUAUGUAAGACAGAUGUGAAAUGCCCGGGCUUAACCUGGGAACUGCAUUUGUGACUGCAUGGCUAGAGUGUGUCAGAGGGGGUAGAAUUCCACGUGUAGCAGUGAAAUGCGUAGAUAUGUGGAGGAAUACCGAUGGCGAAGGCAGCCCCCUGGGAUAACACUGACGCUCAUGCACGAAAGCGUGGGGAG
RNAcentral lists this ribosomal RNA (244 nucleotides) under uncultured bacterium. Its description in RNAcentral is "partial 16S ribosomal RNA". It matches the Rfam family "Bacterial small subunit ribosomal RNA", at positions 524 to 768 of the family's 1533-position model. The record is from RNAcentral.